RNAcentral lists this long non-coding RNA (342 nucleotides) under Coturnix japonica (Japanese quail). RNAcentral describes it as "lncRNA (ENSCJPG00005004071.1)". Lineage: Eukaryota; Metazoa; Chordata; Aves; Galliformes; Phasianidae. The record is from RNAcentral.
GAUCAUUUCACAGUGAUGAUCUUGUGGGUGCUGUGGUUUAAUAUUUCAUUAUUUAAUUCCAGGGUUCUCCAGGCUAUCCGGGACCAGUGGGGCCAAAAGGCGACAGGGGAGAACCUGGUUAUGUCCUGGGAGGAGUGGAGGUGAUUCCUGGCCGAAAUGGGCAUCCCGGCCCCCCUGGACAGAAAGGACAGCCAGGAGUUCCUGGGGUAGCAGGACCACAGGGUUUACCUGGACUACCAGGGCCACAGGGCCCACCAGGACUCUCCAUCAAGGUGAGCAAGGCUAUCUGCACCAUGGCUCUGUGAUGUUUAUCCCAAAAAGGGGUAAUCUGCCAUAAUCCAG